Long non-coding RNA from Sinocyclocheilus grahami, 90 nucleotides. RefSeq lists it as uncharacterized. NCBI's taxonomy places the organism in Eukaryota, Metazoa, Chordata, Actinopteri, Cypriniformes, Cyprinidae. The record is from RefSeq and is a predicted model, not a curated record. The transcript has 3 exons.
AACAUGGUCUGGCCCACGUUAAAUCCGUGCCUCCAGUUAUGGUAGGUGAUAUCUCUGUAACCUUUUCUGGAAUGAUGCUGAAAAUUCAGC